Molecule: ribosomal RNA, 253 nt
Filed under: uncultured bacterium
Lineage: Bacteria
Description: partial 16S ribosomal RNA
Rfam family: Bacterial small subunit ribosomal RNA
Source: RNAcentral
GACAGAGGUUGCAACCGUUGUUCGGAAUUACUGGGCAUAAAGCGCACGUAGGCGGUCCGUUAAGUCAUGUGUGAAAUCCCCCGGCUCAACCGGGGAAUUGCGCAUGAUACUGGCGGGCUAGAGAUCGAUAGGGGUGAGCGGAACUCCAGGUGGAGCGGUGAAAUGCGUAGAUAUCUGGAGGAACACCGGUGGCGAAAGCGGCUCACUGGAUCGAAACUGACGCUGAGGAGCGAAAGCAUGGGGAGCGAACAGG